AUAUUCUUAAGUUAAUCAAACUAUUUGCCUUCAAAGCUGACAUUGGGUUCUACCCAGAAUAUG
This 63-nucleotide transfer RNA is filed under the name Osedax rubiplumus. RNAcentral describes it as "tRNA-Trp". The record is from RNAcentral. Lineage: Eukaryota; Metazoa; Annelida; Polychaeta; Sabellida; Siboglinidae.